RNAcentral lists this ribosomal RNA (301 nucleotides) under uncultured bacterium. RNAcentral describes it as "partial 16S ribosomal RNA". It matches the Rfam family "Bacterial small subunit ribosomal RNA", at positions 509 to 807 of the family's 1533-position model. The record is from RNAcentral.
CAGCAGCCGCGGUAAUACGAAGGGGGCUAGCGUUGUUCGGAUUUACCGGGCGUAAAGGGCGCGUAGGCGGACUGAUAAGUCAGGGGUGAAAUCCCAAGGCUCAACCUUGGAACUGCCUUUGAUACUGUCUGUCUUGAGUUCGAGAGAGGUAAGUGGAACUGCGAGUGUAGAGGUGAAAUUCGUAGAUAUUCGCAAGAACACCAGUGGCGAAGGCGGCUUACUGGCUCGAAACUGACGCUGAGGCGCGAAAGCGUGGGGAGCAAACAGGAUUAGAUACCCCUGUAGUCCCUGUCUCUUAUAC